AUUCAACUGCCGAGUUCCAAAUAGGACGAAAUGCGCGUCCUGAAU
This is a non-coding RNA of Schistosoma curassoni, 45 nucleotides long. Lineage: Eukaryota; Metazoa; Platyhelminthes; Trematoda; Strigeidida; Schistosomatidae. The record is from Rfam.